Molecule: long non-coding RNA, 1038 nt
Organism: Clupea harengus (Atlantic herring)
Lineage: Eukaryota; Metazoa; Chordata; Actinopteri; Clupeiformes; Clupeidae
Source: Ensembl
CAGAGACACACACAGACACACAGAGACACACACAGACACACACGUCUGUUCCCCAUUGGACCAGCUGCUCAUGGUGUGUUUAUCUCUGUCUCUUCCCCAUUGGACCAGCUGCUCACACUUCCUUGCCUGCAUCCUGUCCUUGUUGACAGGUUGAUGUGUGUUUUCUUUGAAGCUUUUUGUCUCCUUCCCUGAACAUAAUUUUGCCGUUGUCACAGUUGUUAUGUGCUUGUUUUUUUGUUGUUUUUUUUGUUGUAAUUGUUGUUUAUGGCACUUUGUGAAAACGUUAGUAAAAGCUAAUAAAGCCCAAUAUGUCUGGUCACUUGUAGUUGCCACAGGGUGUGUGUCCACUGCUGUUCAGAGGUGGUCACUUGUAGUUCACACAGGGUGUGUGUCCACUCCUCUCCAGAGGUGGUCACUUGUAGUUGCCACAGGGUGUGUGUGUCCACUGCUCUCCUGAGGUGCCUUUGGUUGUGCUUGCACACACACAUAGAGAUUUGGGAGGUAGAGGCCGAAGGAAAAUCUGUUCAUUUAACUUUAGAAUUUAUUUUGAUCAGAAAAUGAAUUGUCAAUUCCUCUGGGACAGUGCUUAUCCAAUGCCUUUGAAAAUUUGAUUUUUGUUUUAAUGUGGUAAUGCGAAAUAAAUAAAGGUAGUCUGACUUAAAUGCAUUUAUUUAUUUAUUUAUUUUAAAUCUUUUUUUUAUAGAAUGCAUAGUUUAGUGGCAUUAUGUAGGAAUUGCUAAUCGCUAACGAGAUGCUAGCGGCUAAACCUAGCGAAACCUCUUGAAAUUUGCUUACUAUGACAAACGAGUCAACAACUUUCCUAACAGUCAAGCAUAUGCAACACAAGACAAAGCAAGACGGCAAAUAAGCUACUUACUAGUUCGGCAGACAGUAGUAGUAACUGGGUGGCUUCAGGCAAACCUACAUAACCCAGUAAUAUGCCUACGGACUCUGGUAUGGCACGGAGGCAAUUCUCCAUAUUAAACGUCAUUGUAGCGCCCCAAUUUGUUUAGGCUGUGAUUUUAAGGUAAAACUGCU